UAGAGUUUGAUCCUGGCUCAGAUUGAACGCUGGCGGCAGGCCUAACACAUGCAAGUCGAGCGGUAACAGAAAAGAAGCUUGCUUCUUUUGCUGACGAGCGGCGGACGGGUGAGUAAUGCCUGGGAAUAUACCCUGAUGUGGGGGAUAACUAUUGGAAACGAUAGCUAAUACCGCAUAAUCUCUUCGGAGCAAAGAGGGGGACCUUCGGGCCUCUCGCGUCAGGAUUAGCCCAGGUGGGAUUAGCUAGUUGGUGAGGUAAUGGCUCACCAAGGCGACGAUCCCUAGCUGGUCUGAGAGGAUGAUCAGCCACACUGGAACUGAGACACGGUCCAGACUCCUACGGGAGGCAGCAGUGGGGAAUAUUGCACAAUGGGGGAAACCCUGAUGCAGCCAUGCCGCGUGUAUGGAGAAGGCCUUCGGGUUGUAAAGUACUUUCAGUUGUGAGGAAGGCGUUGGAGUUAAUAGCUUCAGCGCUUGACGUUAGCAACAGAAGAAGCACCGGCUAACUCCGUGCCAGCAGCCGCGGUAAUACGGAGGGUGCGAGCGUUAAUCGGAAUUACUGGGCGUAAAGCGCAUGCAGGCGGUCUGUUAAGCAAGAUGUGAAAGCCCGGGGCUCAACCUCGGAACAGCAUUUUGAACUGGCAGACUAGAGUCCUGUAGAGGGGGGUAGAAUUUCA
RNAcentral lists this ribosomal RNA (677 nucleotides) under uncultured Vibrionaceae bacterium. RNAcentral's name for it is "bacterial SSU rRNA". It matches the Rfam family "Bacterial small subunit ribosomal RNA", at positions 1 to 671 of the family's 1533-position model. The record is from RNAcentral. Lineage: Bacteria; Pseudomonadati; Pseudomonadota; Gammaproteobacteria; Vibrionales; Vibrionaceae.